CCUACGGGUGGCAGCAGUGAGGAAUAUUGGUCAAUGGACGAGAGUCUGAACCAGCCAAGUAGCGUGAAGGAUGACUGCCCUAUGGGUUGUAAACUUCUUUUAUAUGGGAAUAAAAUGUUCCACGUGUGGGAUUUUGUAUGUACCAUAUGAAUAAGGAUCGGCUAACUCCGUGCCAGCAGCCGCGGUGAUACGGAGGUUCCGAGCGUUAUCCGGAUUUAUUGGGUUUAAAGGGAGCGUAGGUGGAUUGUUAAGUCAGGUGUGAAAGUUUGCGGCUCAACCGUAAAAUUGCAGUUGAAACUGGCAGUCUUGAGUACAGUAGAGGUGGGCGGAAUUCGUGGUGUAGCGGUGAAAUGCUUAGAUAUCACGAAGAACUACGAUUGCGAAGGCAGUUCACUGGACUGCAACUGACACUGAGGCUCGAAAGUGUGGGUAUCAAACAGGAUUAGAUACCCGUGUAGUC
RNAcentral lists this ribosomal RNA (460 nucleotides) under uncultured bacterium. RNAcentral describes it as "partial 16S ribosomal RNA". It matches the Rfam family "Bacterial small subunit ribosomal RNA", at positions 338 to 795 of the family's 1533-position model. The record is from RNAcentral.